AAUAGUUUAGUUUACAAAAAACACUUGAUUGUCAAUCAAGAAAAACUAUAAUGUAGUAACUAUU
RNAcentral lists this transfer RNA (64 nucleotides) under Xenoturbella profunda. RNAcentral's name for it is "tRNA-Asp". The record is from RNAcentral. Lineage: Eukaryota; Metazoa; Xenacoelomorpha; Xenoturbellidae.